AAUUUAUUAUUAUUUUUGUCUUUUGUGCAUGUUAAUUGUGGAUUUUUAAUUGAAUUUAAUUAACUGAGGUUGGCUGUGGAUUGAAGGAUUCUUGCGGGUGUUGAAUUUGUGUAAGUGGUAGAAUUUUGGGGCGUUUUGUUUGGUGGUUUGGGACUGUUGGGUUUUGCAGGCAAGGAAUGGGCUUGCGUUGUUCUCUUGGAAAAUAAUCACAUCUCGUUAUAAAUAUCGCUUCCAGUGAUUCUUUUUCUUUUCUUUUUUAUUAUAUUUUUAUACAAAUGAGCUGAAAAUAAAUGGAUUUGGAAGUCAUAAAUUCUUUUUUGAAUUGAAACAAAGAUGGCAGAGAAGUGCAGAAGAAUGUGUAUUGAAUUUUCAUGU
RNAcentral lists this unclassified non-coding RNA (375 nucleotides) under Hevea brasiliensis (rubber tree). The record is from RNAcentral. Lineage: Eukaryota; Viridiplantae; Streptophyta; Magnoliopsida; Malpighiales; Euphorbiaceae.